This 253-nucleotide ribosomal RNA is filed under the name uncultured bacterium. Its description in RNAcentral is "partial 16S ribosomal RNA". It matches the Rfam family "Bacterial small subunit ribosomal RNA", at positions 524 to 776 of the family's 1533-position model. The record is from RNAcentral.
UACGUAGGGGGCAAGCGUUGUCCGGAAUCAUUGGGCGUAAAGCGCGUGUAGGCGGUCCGGUAAGUCGGCUGUGAAAGUCCAGGGCUCAACCCUGGGAUGCCGGUCGAUACUGCCGGACUAGAGUUCGGAAGAGGCGAGUGGAAUUCCCGGUGUAGCGGUGAAAUGCGCAGAUAUCGGGAGGAACACCAAUGGCGAAGGCAGCUCGCUGGGACGUUACUGACGCUGAGGAGCGAAAGUGUGGGGAGCGAACAGG